GGGCGAUUAGCUCAGUUGGUUAGAGCGCCACAUUCACAUUGUGGAAGUCAGAGGUCCGAGUCCUCUAUCGCCCA
Molecule: transfer RNA, 74 nt
Filed under: Candidatus Omnitrophota bacterium
Lineage: Bacteria; Pseudomonadati; Candidatus Omnitrophota
Description: tRNA-Val
Rfam family: tRNA
About the family: Transfer RNA (tRNA) molecules are approximately 80 nucleotides in length. Their secondary structure includes four short double-helical elements and three loops (D, anti-codon, and T loops). Further hydrogen bonds mediate the characteristic L-shaped molecular structure. tRNAs have two regions of fundamental functional importance: the anti-codon, which is responsible for specific mRNA codon recognition, and the 3' end, to which the tRNAs corresponding amino acid is attached (by aminoacyl-tRNA synthetases). tRNAs cope with the degeneracy of the genetic code in two manners: having more than one tRNA (with a specific anti-codon) for a particular amino acid; and 'wobble' base-pairing, i.e. permitting non-standard base-pairing at the 3rd anti-codon position.
Source: RNAcentral